GAUGAAGAACGUAGCGAAAUGCGAUAAGUAAUGUGAAUUGCAGAAUUCAGUGAAUCAUCGAAUCUUUGAACGCACAUUGUGCCCAUUAGCAUUCUAGUGGGCAUGCCUGUUCGAGCGUCAUUUCAACCCUUAAGCCCUGUUGCUUAGCGUUGGGAGCCUACAGUACUGUAGCUCCCCAAAGUUAGUGGCGGAGUCGGUUUCACACUCUAGACGUAGUAAUUUUUUCUCGUCUGUAGUUGAGCCGGUCCCCUGCCGUAAAACACCCAAUUUAUCAAGGUUGACCUCGGAUCAGGUAGGAAUACCCGCUGAACUUAAGCAUAUCAAUAAGCGGAGGA
Molecule: unclassified non-coding RNA, 335 nt
Filed under: soil metagenome
Description: partial contains 5.8S ribosomal RNA, internal transcribed spacer 2, and large subunit ribosomal RNA
Rfam family: 5.8S ribosomal RNA (bases 1-120)
Source: RNAcentral